RNAcentral lists this long non-coding RNA (1068 nucleotides) under Gossypium raimondii (Peruvian cotton). RNAcentral describes it as "long non-coding RNA (GRAI_LNC011242)". Lineage: Eukaryota; Viridiplantae; Streptophyta; Magnoliopsida; Malvales; Malvaceae. The record is from RNAcentral.
UUUUUUUUCUUUGGAUCUUGCUUUGUGGAUUAGAUAACAAAUAUUGGUGUUUGAUUAUGUUUGAUAAUAUCUGCUUUUUUUAAUACAAUUUCUAGAAGUAUCUGUAACCCCUCUUAAGCCAUAAGUAGAAAGUUAAUAUGCUUCAGCGCACAAAAACUUACGUGUCUUCCUGCAUUGGCAAUUGAGUUUGUAAUAACCAAUUUUUGCCCGAUCCACUAAGAAAACAAACAAAAAAAUAAAGUCUCAAAAUUACAACAAACAAAACCAGGCCUAAAAUUAAACAAACCCAAUAGGCCCAAAAAUUUAAAAAAAAAACUUAGCCCAAAUAGCAUUAACAUUUACAGCAGAAAGGAGCAAACCCUAGCCCCCAAGCGUCCAGCGCCGCAAGAACCAAGCUCCCUCACGCACACCACCACCGCUGCUAGCCAAUCGUUGGCCUUCCACGCGCGUCAGACCUCUUGCAAAGAGAAAUCAAUGCAAGACGGUAGAAACAAUAACAAAACGACAAAAAAAUAUAACUUAUGAGUCUUGUAACUUGGCUAUAACAGCCGAAGUAUCCUCUUUGUAACUUUUUUACACACACUAGAAAUCAAAAGCCGAAUAGAAAUCUUAAAAGGUUGACCCUUUACUAUUUCUACUUUGUUUUCUUGUUUUUCUUUUCUUUUCUUUAUCUAUUUUAUUUUAUUUUAUUUUUUACAAAUCCAUUUUAAAUAAUUAUAAUAAAAAUCAAAAUAAAGAAAAGGAAAGGAAAACCUUACCUGGAACCGCCGCGUGGCCCCGUCGACGGAGGUCCCUUCGCCGUCGUCGGAGUCGAGCUAAAAGGGGUGGUUAGAUUCCUCCUUUUUCUUUCGGCCUCUCAUCACCGGUACCGUCCACCGGACUUAAAAGGGGGUUAAAAGCCCCGUCUUUCGCCACUGCCCGUCGACCAUGGCGGCGGAGCUGUCUGCUAAUCAGAGAAAGUGAGGGGAGAGUAGAGAAAAUGAGAGUUUUAGGGUUUUUUUUUUAGGUUUUAAAAAAAUUUGAUUUUAUAAGACAUUGAAAAGGCGUCGUUUCAGCAGGCCUCCCCAG